This 821-nucleotide ribosomal RNA is filed under the name uncultured bacterium. RNAcentral describes it as "bacterial SSU rRNA". It matches the Rfam family "Bacterial small subunit ribosomal RNA", at positions 1 to 813 of the family's 1533-position model. The record is from RNAcentral.
CACUAGUGAUUAGAGUUUGAUCCUGGCUCAGAUUGAACGCUGGCGGCAGGCCUAACACAUGCAAGUCGAGCGGAUGAAGGGAGCUUGCUCCCUGAUUUAGCGGCGGACGGGUGAGUAAUGCCUAGGAAUCUGCCUGGUAGUGGGGGAUAACGUUCCGAAAGGAACGCUAAUACCGCAUACGUCCUACGGGAGAAAGCAGGGGACCUUCGGGCCUUGCGCUAUCAGAUGAGCCUAGGUCGGAUUAGCUAGUUGGUGAGGUAAUGGCUCACCAAGGCGACGAUCCGUAACUGGUCUGAGAGGAUGAUCAGUCACACUGGAACUGAGACACGGUCCAGACUCCUACGGGAGGCAGCAGUGGGGAAUAUUGGACAAUGGGCGAAAGCCUGAUCCAGCCAUGCCGCGUGUGUGAAGAAGGUCUUCGGAUUGUAAAGCACUUUAAGUUGGGAGGAAGGGCAGUAAGCUAAUACCUUGCUGUUUUGACGUUACCGACAGAAUAAGCACCGGCUAACUUCGUGCCAGCAGCCGCGGUAAUACGAAGGGUGCAAGCGUUAAUCGGAAUUACUGGGCGUAAAGCGCGCGUAGGUGGUUCGUUAAGUUGGAUGUGAAAGCCCCGGGCUCAACCUGGGAACUGCAUCCAAAACUGGCGAGCUAGAGUACGGUAGAGGGUGGUGGAAUUUCCUGUGUAGCGGUGAAAUGCGUAGAUAUAGGAAGGAACACCAGUGGCGAAGGCGACCACCUGGACUGAUACUGACACUGAGGUGCGAAAGCGUGGGGAGCAAACAGGAUUAGAUACCCUGGUAGUCCACGCCGUAAACGAUGUC